CCUACGGGGGGCAGCAGUGAGGAAUAUUGGUCAAUGGGCGCGAGCCUGAACCAGCCAAGUAGCGUGAAGGAUGAAUGCCCUACGGGUUGUAAACUUCUUUUAUAAAGGAAUAAAGUGAGGAGCGUGUGCCUUUUUGGAUGUACUUUAUGAAUAAGGAUAGGCUAACUCCGUGCCAGCAGCCGCGGUAAUACGGAGGAUCCGAGCGUUAUCCGGAUUUAUUGGGUUUAAAGGGAGCGUAGAUGGUUUGUUAAGUCAGGUGUGAAAGUUUGCGGCUCAACCGUAAAAGUGCAUUUGAUACGGGCAGCCUUGAGUACAGUUGAGGUAGGCGGAAUGCGUGGUGUAGCGGUGAAAUGCUUAGA
Molecule: ribosomal RNA, 359 nt
Filed under: uncultured bacterium
Lineage: Bacteria
Description: partial 16S ribosomal RNA
Rfam family: Bacterial small subunit ribosomal RNA
Source: RNAcentral